GGCGGCGUGGAGCAGUGGAAGCUCGUCGGGCUCAUAACCCGAAGGUCGUCGGUUCGAAUCCGACCGCCGCAA
This 72-nucleotide transfer RNA is filed under the name Chloroflexota bacterium. RNAcentral's name for it is "Chloroflexi bacterium tRNA-Met". It matches the Rfam family "tRNA". From Rfam's summary of the family: Transfer RNA (tRNA) molecules are approximately 80 nucleotides in length. Their secondary structure includes four short double-helical elements and three loops (D, anti-codon, and T loops). Lineage: Bacteria; Bacillati; Chloroflexota. The record is from RNAcentral. RNAcentral also lists the same sequence under 5 other names.